RNAcentral lists this ribosomal RNA (467 nucleotides) under uncultured bacterium. RNAcentral's name for it is "bacterial SSU rRNA". It matches the Rfam family "Bacterial small subunit ribosomal RNA", at positions 333 to 793 of the family's 1533-position model. The record is from RNAcentral.
AGACUCCUACGGGGAGGCAGCAGUGGGGAAUAUUGCACAAUGGGCNAAGCCUGAUGCAGCCAUGCCGCGUGUGUGAAGAAGGCCUUCGGGUUGUAAAGCACUUUCAGUUGUGAGGAAGGUGGUGUCGUUAAUAGCGGCAUUAUUUGACGUUAGCUGCAGAAGAAGCACCGGCUAACUCCGUGCCAGCAGCCGCGGUAAUACGGAGGGUGCGAGCGUUAAUCGGAAUUACUGGGCGUAAAGCGCAUGCAGGUGGUUUGUUAAGUCAGAUGUGAAAGCCCGGGGCUCAACCUCGGAAUAGCAUUUGAAACUGGCAGACUAGAGUACUGUAGAGGGGGUAGAAUUUCAGGUGUAGCGGUGAAAUGCGUAGAGAUCUGAAGGAAUACCGGUGGCGAAGGCGGCCCCCUGGACAGAUACUGACACUCAGAUGCGAAAGCGUGGGGAGCAAACAGGAUUAGAUACCCUGGUAG